Molecule: ribosomal RNA, 2789 nt
Filed under: Escherichia coli
Lineage: Bacteria; Pseudomonadati; Pseudomonadota; Gammaproteobacteria; Enterobacterales; Enterobacteriaceae
Description: bacterial LSU rRNA
Rfam family: Bacterial large subunit ribosomal RNA
Source: RNAcentral
AGCGUACACGGUGGAUGCCCUGGCAGUCAGAGGCGAUGAAGGACGUGCUAAUCUGCGAUAAGCGUCGGUAAGGUGAUAUGAACCGUUAUAACCGGCGAUUUCCGAAUGGGGAAACCCAGUGUGAUUCGUCACACUAUCAUUAACUGAAUCCAUAGGUUAAUGAGGCGAACCGGGGGAACUGAAACAUCUAAGUACCCCGAGGAAAAGAAAUCAACCGAGAUUCCCCCAGUAGCGGCGAGCGAACGGGGAGCAGCCCAGAGCCUGAAUCAGUGUGUGUGUUAGUGGAAGCGUCUGGAAAGGCGUGCGAUACAGGGUGACAGCCCCGUACACAAAAAUGCACAUGCUGUGAGCUCGAUGAGUAGGGCGGGACACGUGGUAUCCUGUCUGAAUAUGGGGGGACCAUCCUCCAAGGCUAAAUACUCCUGACUGACCGAUAGUGAACCAGUACCGUGAGGGAAAGGCGAAAAGAACCCCGGCGAGGGGAGUGAAAAAGAACCUGAAACCGUGUACGUACAAGCAGUGGGAGCACAGAGCAAUCUGUGUGACUGCGUACCUUUUGUAUAAUGGGUCAGCGACUUAUAUUCUGUAGCAAGGUUAACCGAAUAGGGGAGCCGAAGGGAAACCGAGUCUUAACUGGGCGUUAAGUUGCAGGGUAUAGACCCGAAACCCGGUGAUCUAGCCAUGGGCAGGUUGAAGGUUGGGUAACACUAACUGGAGGACCGAACCGACUAAUGUUGAAAAAUUAGCGGAUGACUUGUGGCUGGGGGUGAAAGGCCAAUCAAACCGGGAGAUAGCUGGUUCUCCCCGAAAGCUAUUUAGGUAGCGCCUCGUGAAUUCAUCUCCGGGGGUAGAGCACUGUUUCGGCAAGGGGGUCAUCCCGACUUACCAACCCGAUGCAAACUGCGAAUACCGGAGAAUGUUAUCACGGGAGACACACGGCGGGUGCUAACGUCCGUCGUGAAGAGGGAAACAACCCAGACCGCCAGCUAAGGUCCCAAAGUCAUGGUUAAGUGGGAAACGAUGUGGGAAGGCCCAGACAGCCAGGAUGUUGGCUUAGAAGCAGCCAUCAUUUAAAGAAAGCGUAAUAGCUCACUGGUCGAGUCGGCCUGCGCGGAAGAUGUAACGGGGCUAAACCAUGCACCGAAGCUGCGGCAGCGACGCUUAUGCGUUGUUGGGUAGGGGAGCGUUCUGUAAGCCUGCGAAGGUGUGCUGUGAGGCAUGCUGGAGGUAUCAGAAGUGCGAAUGCUGACAUAAGUAACGAUAAAGCGGGUGAAAAGCCCGCUCGCCGGAAGACCAAGGGUUCCUGUCCAACGUUAAUCGGGGCAGGGUGAGUCGACCCCUAAGGCGAGGCCGAAAGGCGUAGUCGAUGGGAAACAGGUUAAUAUUCCUGUACUUGGUGUUACUGCGAAGGGGGGACGGAGAAGGCUAUGUUGGCCGGGCGACGGUUGUCCCGGUUUAAGCGUGUAGGCUGGUUUUCCAGGCAAAUCCGGAAAAUCAAGGCUGAGGCGUGAUGACGAGGCACUACGGUGCUGAAGCAACAAAUGCCCUGCUUCCAGGAAAAGCCUCUAAGCAUCAGGUAACAUCAAAUCGUACCCCAAACCGACACAGGUGGUCAGGUAGAGAAUACCAAGGCGCUUGAGAGAACUCGGGUGAAGGAACUAGGCAAAAUGGUGCCGUAACUUCGGGAGAAGGCACGCUGAUAUGUAGGUGAAGUCCCUCGCGGAUGGAGCUGAAAUCAGUCGAAGAUACCAGCUGGCUGCAACUGUUUAUUAAAAACACAGCACUGUGCAAACACGAAAGUGGACGUAUACGGUGUGACGCCUGCCCGGUGCCGGAAGGUUAAUUGAUGGGGUCAGCGCAAGCGAAGCUCUUGAUCGAAGCCCCGGUAAACGGCGGCCGUAACUAUAACGGUCCUAAGGUAGCGAAAUUCCUUGUCGGGUAAGUUCCGACCUGCACGAAUGGCGUAAUGAUGGCCAGGCUGUCUCCACCCGAGACUCAGUGAAAUUGAACUCGCUGUGAAGAUGCAGUGUACCCGCGGCAAGACGGAAAGACCCCGUGAACCUUUACUAUAGCUUGACACUGAACAUUGAGCCUUGAUGUGUAGGAUAGGUGGGAGGCUUUGAAGUGUGGACGCCAGUCUGCAUGGAGCCGACCUUGAAAUACCACCCUUUAAUGUUUGAUGUUCUAACGUUGACCCGUGAUCCGGGUUGCGGACAGUGUCUGGUGGGUAGUUUGACUGGGGCGGUCUCCUCCUAAAGAGUAACGGAGGAGCACGAAGGUUGGCUAAUCCUGGUCGGACAUCAGGAGGUUAGUGCAAUGGCAUAAGCCAGCUUGACUGCGAGCGUGACGGCGCGAGCAGGUGCGAAAGCAGGUCAUAGUGAUCCGGUGGUUCUGAAUGGAAGGGCCAUCGCUCAACGGAUAAAAGGUACUCCGGGGAUAACAGGCUGAUACCGCCCAAGAGUUCAUAUCGACGGCGGUGUUUGGCACCUCGAUGUCGGCUCAUCACAUCCUGGGGCUGAAGUAGGUCCCAAGGGUAUGGCUGUUCGCCAUUUAAAGUGGUACGCGAGCUGGGUUUAGAACGUCGUGAGACAGUUCGGUCCCUAUCUGCCGUGGGCGCUGGAGAACUGAGGGGGGCUGCUCCUAGUACGAGAGGACCGGAGUGGACGCAUCACUGGUGUUCGGGUUGUCAUGCCAAUGGCACUGCCCGGUAGCUAAAUGCGGAAGAGAUAAGUGCUGAAAGCAUCUAAGCACGAAACUUGCCCCGAGAUGAGUUCUCCCUGACUCCUUGA